Molecule: long non-coding RNA, 220 nt
Organism: Zea mays
Lineage: Eukaryota; Viridiplantae; Streptophyta; Magnoliopsida; Poales; Poaceae
Exons: 3
Source: RefSeq, a predicted model, not a curated record
CAUGCUUCAGAUAAUGUGAACAAAAUUCUGGUGGGGAAUAAAGCUGAUAUGGAUGAAAGCAAUGGGUUGUGCCCACUUCAAAGGGACAAGCUCUCGCAGACGAAUAUGGGAUAAAGUUCUUUGAAACGAGCGCAAAGACAAACCUGAACGUCGAGCAGGUUUUCUUGUCUAUAGCAAGGGAUAUCAAACAGAGACUUUCAGAGACUGAUUCCAAGCCUGA